AACGCACAUUGCGCCCCCUGGUAUUCCGGGGGGCAUGCCUGUCCGAGCGUCAUUGCUGCCCUCCAGCACGGCUGGUGUGUUGGGCCGCCGUCCCCCCCCGGGGGACGGGCCCGAAAGGCAGUGGCGGCGCCGCGUCCGGUCCCCGAGCGUAUGGGGCUUUGUCACCCGCUCCGUGGGCACCGGCCGGCUGCCGGCCUCCCAUCUUCCUUAUUUUUUCAAGGUUGACCUCGGAUCAGGUAGGGAUACCCGCUGAACUUAA
This 259-nucleotide unclassified non-coding RNA is filed under the name uncultured Eurotiales. RNAcentral's name for it is "sequence contains 5.8S rRNA gene, ITS2, 28S rRNA gene". The stretch from base 1 to 52 matches the Rfam family "5.8S ribosomal RNA", at positions 103 to 154 of the family's 154-position model. The record is from RNAcentral. Lineage: Eukaryota; Fungi; Ascomycota; Eurotiomycetes; Eurotiales.